UGGGACUGGAUCCCGGGACUCCAGGAUCACACCCUGGGCCAAAGGCAGGCACUAAACCGCUGAGCCACCCAGGGAUCCCCAGAAAGGAAGUUCUUAAUGCAGCACUCCUUCUAAACUCCUUCUUUACCAGAUCCAGGGCCUGGUGGCUAAGGAAGGACAGAAGAGAAGUGAGAAGAAGCCGCCAGCCGCGGACUCCCUAAAUGAGAGUCUCAGACAUCAUCACCGUGUCGAGAUGUCCCCGCUCCCCAGCUUACUCAGAGGGUCACAGAGAGGAAGAGUGACUGUAAGCAAGAGGCCCCAGGGAAGGCUCCCCAGCAUGGGUCAGGGGGUGUGGGCACAGCAGCUCGCCUCUCCACUUUCCUGCCUCAGGUCCCCUGGGAAGCUACAGGAAAAUCUACAUCUUUGAGACAGAGUGUGGUGGCUGGAAGUGGAGGUGGGGUUUCAGGCUGGAGUCGGGUGAGAUUUCCCUUCCAACUCAAAACCUUCACAGGAGCCCUUGGCCAAGCAUUCCAGAUCCACCAUAGUCUGCGUGAACCCUGCCCAUCCAAUUUUAUUUUCUACCACUGGCCUGAUGUCAGCACACAUCCUAUACCUUGGACUAUUCUGACCAACCGAUAACCCGGGGAAAAGUGCCAGUGUCAACCCAAGAGGCCAGCCCAGAGGCAGUCCUUGGCAGGGGAGGAGGAAGGACUUCUAGGCUGUAGGGAGCAAUUCUGAAACUGAGGGGGAAGGCGUCUAGGGCACAUAUCUGAGCAAGGAGUACCCCAAGACUUCCCCCAUAUCCCACAACAUCAUGCUUACCUCCAAACAUGACACCACCGUGGCAGUGACAUCGAUAAUAGAGUGGGCGUGGCCCAGCCCCCAGCUCUGAGCUCCCAAUCUCCUGUGACCAGAGCAGUCAAGGCCAGCUCUAGAACAGCUGUUGCCCUGAGCUGUGACAAGAGCAGCAUGUGGCAGCAGAGGACAAGAUGGGAGGAUCCAAAUUGUUGGUUUUCUUUCUACAAUGAGGUUAUAACCAAGAUUACUAUCAUAGAAUGAAUAAGCCCUGAGGCUUUUAUCACCGGAAUGGGGGAUCCUGGGAGCAAAAACAGACAUAAUCUCAAUAGUAGAAGAUAAAAGAAAUGUGAGCUUAUCUUCUACUCAAAUUGUAAUGCACCAGUGACCCUGGCAUUGAAGUUAUAGCCACCCACCCACUAAAGCUCUGGCUCUAACUUUGCUUAAACCAGCUUGCACUGAAGUGAAGAUGGUCACAGGUGUUUACCUUGAAAAUCACCCACUGGAUGACCUACUAUGCAUCAGGCUUACAAAAUUAUCUUUAUUUCCUGAACGGAACAGGAUAUGUGAAGACACCAAAACUAAUGAUUGCCCUGCCAACCCCAUGGAAGAGUGGGUCUUCAUGCUGCCAUGUGGAAGAGUUUAAUCUACUGUUGCUGACUUUGAAGAUGGAGGAAGGGGCCACAGUCCAAGGAAUGUGGGCAACUUCAAGAAGCUGGAAAGGGCAAGAAAACAGUCUCACACCCAAAGCCUCCAAAAAGAAAUGCAGCCCAGCCAGCGUCUUAGCCUACUAGGACUGAUGAUGUUGCACUUCUACCCCUCAGAAUGAGCUGAUUUCUAGUCAUGGAAAUUGACAAAUGAAGAAACAAUAAAUAUAUGGCAACUGGUGAAUAAACGUUAUGAAGAGAAAAUAAAGCAGAGUAAAAAAAUGAGACACAAAAGAGUACCAUGAUCUGAAUACGUUUUAAAAAGAUACCUGCCUGCUGUGUAGACAGCAUAUCAUAAAGAAAAAAGGAGACUCCCAUAGAAAUGCUAAGCCACAACCAAGAUUGAAAUCUCUUUGAAACUUUGGGCUUAGAUGAGGGUCAGAGGAUUCCGACGCAACUUCUGUCCAGGCACUCAACCGAGGAAGCAGCCAGCUUAGAGAUGAGAUCUGGGAUUUCCCCACUAUGACCUCAGAGGCUGAAAUUCACAAAGACGGCAGAAUGGUGGCUUCCAGGGGCUGUGAGGUGGAGAGAAUGGGAAUCCCUGCUUAAUGGGGAUGGGAUUUCAGUUUGGGAAGAUGAAGAAAGUUCUGGGAAGGGAUGGUGAUGGUUGCAAAACAAUGGAAAUGUACUUAUUGCUCCUGAACGGUACACUUCAAAAUGGACAGAGACCAAAUCUGACUCCCUUGAAUGGGACAACUGGCAGGAUAUCGGGUAGCUCUCUUGGACUAAUGGAAAAACUGGAAAGACAAACCAGAGAGACAAAGUAGCAGGGAAUGCAACCGGAAAGCCACAUCAUGUUUGUUGGGGUCAUCUUAGAAAUUGCCAGUAGGCUAGCAAAGAUGAUCCAAUGAAGAGUCAGUCCUGUCCACAGUGACAAAGACCUUGAACUACCCGCUAAGUCUCAGGUGGCAGCCACUUCUCCAGUGUCAUCCCCCAUGGCCCUGUGAUCUCACUUUCACAAAUCUUGUUCCAGUGUAGUCCUCACUGAUUCCCAGAAACACCAUGUCCCUCAUGCCUCUUGCUUUCACCAUGCCCUAAAAUACCCUUCCUUCCCCUUUAUCAGCCUGAUGAACUCCUACACACCCUUCAAGACCCUGUUAAAUAUCACCUGUGUGAAGCCUUUUCCUAUUCUCCAGGUACACAGUGUUCCCACAGCACCCAAGUGAUAUCUCUAGUAUAGUCUUGAUUGUGUUAUUUUUAAAUCAUCUGUUUUCCUGUCUGUCUUCUCCAGUGACUGUUACCUUGCAGAGGACAAGGACUGUGUCUAAUUUAUCUUAAUUAGUUAAUUAGCUAGGUUACUCUAAUUAACCUAAAGGGCAGGGGUCUGGUUAUUUGCUUCCAUGCAAAGUACAAUGCCUCACAUAUUUGCAUGUUUAAUAAAUGCUGAAUAAAUAACUUAAGUAAUUAA
Molecule: long non-coding RNA, 2889 nt
Organism: Canis lupus familiaris (dog)
Lineage: Eukaryota; Metazoa; Chordata; Mammalia; Carnivora; Canidae
Exons: 6
Source: RefSeq, a predicted model, not a curated record